GCUUUAAGAUGUUAUCUUAAUACCUCGGGUAAGUAGAGUAGUAGUUAAAGUAAUGGUUUAACUAGCUUUAUCUCGUAGUCGAGUCUGAAAGGUCCUUCGACCACAUUGGAACUGAGACAAGUUCAAUGCGAUUUUUUUUUUGCACUGCAGUGGGGAAUAUUGGUCAAUAGCCUAACGGCUGAACCAGCGAUUUGAAGGAAUGAAGAUCUACUUUGAAAUAUAAGAAGACUAAAAUUCUGGUUAGUAAAAUGAUAAUGACAAUUUUCUAUCUAAAUGUCUUGACUAAUUCACGUGCCAGCAGUCGCGGUAAUACGUGAGAGACUAGCGUUAUUCAUAUUUAAUUGGUUUAAAGGGUUACUAGACGGUAAUUUUUGCCUUUGAAUGGGGACAGAGUUACUAGAGUUUUAUGUGAAAAGUAUAUUUAGAACUCAUGGUGUAGAACUGAUAAUUUAAAAUACUAUGGGGAAUGAUAAAGGCGAAGGCAAACUUUUAUGUAAAAACUGACGUUGAGGAACGAAGGCAAGGACAGUGAAUAGGAUUAGAACCCUAGUAACCCUAGCAGAAAAUGAUGAGUGCCAUAGGUUGUAUUAAAUUUAAAUCGCCUAUAAAUGAAAAUGUAAGCAUUCCACCUCAAGAGUAAUGUGGCAACACAGAAACUGUAACCAUUAGACCAACUCCGAAACUAGUAGUGAAGUGUGUGUUCGACGUGAAGUGAAAGUUAGCAAUGUGGUUAGAUUCCACUGGGUUAGUUCUCAACCUUAACACUAUUUACACAUUUUGGUUAGUAAUAUAAAAAAUGAAGAUGUAAAGACAAUGUAACUCAGCCUUGGAUGGCAACGUAGUAAUUUAUUCCGGAGUGCUAGUGUAAUGUAAAAUAUGGAGAGCGAAAGCAAAGGUAGCAAGGACACUCUGAAAAACUAUGAUUAUGGAAUGUAAUGGUUUUGACACACUAAGCCAUUAGAGAAACAAAAUUUCCAUCAGGGUAAAGCUAUCCUCCUAAGUUUUAUGUGAUAGUGCUAACUUUUGAACACGGUAAACCCUUAUCCUCCCUGAUAUUGCAGGAGGCGUCUUAUAUUAACAAAUGGGCGUAUCGGGGUGAGGGCAGAGGAGAAGUUAAAAAGCAAAUGCUAAAUCGUAACUGAUUUUGGAUAAAGUAAAUAUUAAAUCAAUGUAUUAAUAAUAGUCAUUCUUAAAUAAAAGAUCAAUUUUUUAGAGUCAGAGGAGGGUGGGCCUCUUAAUACCUACCCAAUAAUCAAACAAAAAACUUUGGAUACUAGCCUCUUGGUGUGUUAAGAUAGAUUUCAGAGGGCGGUUUUCGAGAACCAGGUAUAAAAAUGGUGCUGACACCUCUUUUUUUAUACUCCUGCGAAAGUAUUUUAGCGUUUAUCUUGAGGUUGAAGUCUCUGGAAUUUUUCCCCCUUGCAGAUAUGAAUAAGUAAAUAUUCUUAAGAGAUCGGUCCUUUGAUCGAGAGGAGCCUGGGUCACAAGUUCGGGCUAGAGUACUAAUUAUGAAGAAUUACCGGUAGGAGUGCAGAAGACAUGACGAUUUCAGUGAGAUCCUCUCUGUUCUUUGGCCGCCGAACCCGAGAGGUAGGCUAACUAAUAAUGCCCAUUUCUUGAAUUAGAUACUGACUGCUAAAGGUUGGACCAAAAUCCCAACUGUAUAGACAUCUCUUUAUCAUAGAGCUAGAAUAUGUUGCAAAGUGCUACGCAAGGUGAAAGUCCUUGAAUGUAUUCUUGACUUUAAUCUUAAUAAUUAGGAACUUAGGAGUUACCUGCAAUUGCGGACUUUUUCAGUGUCUUCAAUAUACUAGUCACAACAAUGAUAAAAAAUUUACAAAAAUAUAUUUUACAGGGUUACUUAUUUGGACAGCAGAACUGUUAUAUGUCUACUACAUCUAUUCAUACUUUUUCUUCUUCUUCUGUACCUAUUCUUGAUCCUUGGUUCGUGGUGGGAUUCACAGAUGGGGAGGGUUCAUUCAUUAUCACAAUCUAUAAAAAUAAGGAGUAUUUUACUGGAUGACAAAUCCAAGCAAUGUUUGAAAUACAUUUACACGCUAAAGAUUUACCUUUAUUAAAACAAAUACAAUCUUUUUUUGGCGUAGGAACUAUACGAACUAAUAAAUCUAGUAAUUCGGUUUAUUAUCGUGUAACAAACCAAAAAGAACUAAUUGAAAUAAUUUUUUUGAUAAAUAUUCUUUACUUUCACAGAAACGAGCUGAUUUUGAACUGUUCAAAUCUGUAAUUAUAUUAAUGGAAAGCCGAGAGCAUAGAACGAUGGAAGGACUUCUAAAAAUUAUUAAUAUUAAAUCGUCUAUAAAUAAAGGCUUAUCCAAUACAUUAAUUGAAUAUUUCCCGAAUGUUAUACCUGUAAAUCGCCCUAUAAUAGAAACAACAGAGAUUCCGGAUCCUGCCUGAAUAUCAGGAUUUAGUUCAGCCGAAUCUUGUUUUGAUAUUAAUCUUAUUAAAAAUAACUCUAAAUUAAACUAUCAAACUAGGCUCAGAUUUAGAAUCACUCAACAUGUUCGAGAUAGAGCUCUCCUAGGUUUAAUUAUUAAAUAUUUAAAUUGUGGAAGAUUAGAAAAUUCAAGAGAUACGGUAGUAUUUUGUGAAACCAAAUUAUUAGAUAUAUUAAACAUCGUAAUUCCGUUCUUUGAGAAAUAUCCUAUACAAGGUAUUAAAGCGUUAGAUUUUCAAAAUUUUUAUCAAGUAUCAUUAUUAAUGAAAGAUAAGGCUCAUUUAACAGCUUCAGGCUUAGAUCAAAUAAGAAAUAUUAAGAGUAAAAUGAAUACUAAUAGAGAUGAAAACGAGCUAUAAGAAAUUAUUAAAACCAUUGAAUCCAUUUUACGUUACUGGUCUGGCGGACGGUGAGGGAAGUUGAGGAUUAUCUAUAAAUAAAGAUCCAAAGCGUACUUUAGUAAAAAAAGACCGUAAACUUUUGAUCAAAAAAAACUUAUAAGAAUUGAGAACAUUAUUUAAAUAAAUAAUUAAUAGUAUCCCUUGCCUUUCUCAAUUUCUUAUCGUGCCAGCAAUAUUAAUAAUCUUGGCACAUUUUCUCAAUUAAAAACAACUUACGAGUUACGCCAGCUCUUUUAAAACAAUUGGUCGAAAAAAUAGAUUUUCUCUGACAUCUUAUGAUCAAAGGGUUAUAAAUAAAAUGAAUAAAAACAAUAAAAACAAUAAUUCACCUCCAUUAUCAGCUCCAGCAACCUCUUCACUUCCUGCGAAGCGUUCACCUGAACCUACAGUACCAGAAAAAGUACCAGAAAAAGUCUAUCCUAAUUCAGAAACAUAUAAAGCUCAAAUAUUAUUAGAAAAUAAGGGCAAGUCAGGUAUUUAUAUUUGAAAAAACUUGCUUAAUAAAAAGCAAUAUAUUGGGUCUUCAGAGAAUUUAAGAAAAAGAUUUUAUGAAUAUUUUAAUACUAAUCAUUUACUUACACAUACCUCUAUAUAUAUUUGUCGUUCUCUACUUAAACACGGUUAUGAUAACUUUUCUCUAACAAUUAUUGAGUACUGUGAACCAGAACAAUGUCUAGCAAGAGAGAAGUACUAUAUUGAUUUUUUUGGAUCAGAGUACAACACUGUUAAGGAUCCUACUAUUCCUCCAAUGUCUUUAGUAAACACUCUGAUGAAUCUAAAACAAAAACAUCUGAUGCUCUAACAGGUCAAUCAAGACCCGAAGGAGCAGGAAGACCCUUUCAAGCAAUAGAGGUUAUAGAUAAAGAUAAUAAUGAUAAUAAAACUUCUUAUAAUUCAAUUCGUGAAGCAGCAAGAGCCUUAAAUAUCUCACGAUAUAGUAUUCAAGAUUAUAUUUCCCGAAAUGCAGGAAAACCAUUUAAAAACAGAUACAUUUUCAAAAAACUAUAAUUAUUAAUGUUCUCAAUUUCUUUUUUUUGCAGCACGCGAUCACGUGCAGGUUAUGCUGAACUCCUCGUCCUCGAUUAUACACCUUUUUCUAAUUCUAACCAGGUGGUUUAAAAAGUUAAACCUAACCCAAUAAACAAAAAAUUGGCAGUUCAAUUAGUAUUUGUGGUUACUCAGCAUAUUCGUGAUAAGGAAUUAAUUGAAGGUUUAAAAUAAUACUUAGAUUGUGGAAAAUUUUCUGUUAGAAAAGGCAAUGAAGCUUGCGACUAUAAAGUUACUAGUCUUGCAGAUAUAAACGAAAAGAUCGUUCCUUUCUUUUUAAAGUUCCCUCUGACGGGGACUAAAUCCUUAAAUUUCAAGGAUUUUUUCAAAGUUGUAAAUAUAAUGAAUGAAAAAGGUCAUUUAACAGCAUCAGGAUUAAAAACAAUUGAAAAUAUAAAAGUAGGUAUGAAUACAGGAAGAUCUUCAUAAGAUGACAAACAAAACAAAAUUGAUUUAAUAUUAUUACUUGCACCGAAAGGUGGCUGACUUAACAUACGGUGGACUAAAAAAAGUCUGCUUGAGCGUAGUGUGAUGAAAGUCGCACGCUGCGUUCUGAGGGGGGGAAGAGCUGAGAAGUUUUACCUAUCCCGCCUAUUUAAUUCGAUGAUCCACGAAAAAUCUUACCACAAUUUGAAUAUUUAGUGACAAGAAAUUAAUUUAAUUUUUGUAAAAAAAAAAAAUGUUUUUUUUUACUUCUUUUUACAAGUGUUGCACGGCUGUCUACAGUUGUUGCCGCGAGGCUUUGGUUGGCUCCAACAAGUGACGUACACCCUAAUUUUAUUUAAAACUAAUUUCAUUUUAUGAAAUAAAUUAUAAAGUUAUUCAUCUUGACAUGAGAUGUAUUUAUGGGAUAAAGACAAGUCCUCAUGACCUUAAUAUUGUGGGCUGAUAAGUAUUUUGGGAAAAUACUAAAUUGGCCAAAACUAUCAAAUUCCGGAGACACCCUAAAGCUUAUGGUACCAAACUAUAGUUGAAAAACUGUAAGUGGUGUAACAAUUCAUAAGAUUUAUGAAAAUAAAAUGGGUAAUCGCGGAUCUAAGUCAGCUAAUAUGGCUGUAAAAGAGCAACGAGUAUAUGGUAGUUGAUGCAUUACACCUAUGCAUUUAAGAUGUACUCUAAUGGAUUUCAAAAGAAAUUAUCAACUCAGAAUCCCCACUAAUCAAUUAAUCAGUAGAACAUAUUCUACUCUAUCUAAUAAUCUAACGGUGAAUCCUUGGUUUUUCACAGGAUUUUCGGAUGCAGAAAGUUCUUUUAUUAUUUCUAUUUAUAGAGAUGAAAAUAAUAAGUUGAAGUGAAGAGUUUCAGCAUAUUUCUCUAUACAUAUUCACAUCAAAGAUCUACCACUAUUAGAACUAAUUCAAAAAACCUUAGGUGUAGGAAAAGUUAGAAAAAAUAGUAAAAGUACUGUUCUAUUUAGAGUUAGUAAUCUGCAAGAAUUACAAGUAAUUAUUAAUCAUUUUAAAAAAUUUCCAUUAAUUAGUGCCAAAUACUCUGAUUUUUUAUUGUUUGAACAAUGCUACAAUUUAAUUAAGCAAAAAGAACAUUUAACACAAGCAGGCCUUGAAAAGAUAUUAGCUUUUAAAUCUAAUUUAAAUAGAGGUUUACCUGAUGAUUUAAAAAGUGCUUUUCCUAAUAUUGUGCCUGUAGCUAGACCUGAAUAUAAAUUUAAUGGUAUACCAAAUCCAUUUUGAAUAUCAGGGUUUGUCUCGGGUGAUUCAACAUUUAGUGUUUCUAUAGAAAAAAGUACAAGUAAGUUAGGUAAAAGAGUAAGAUUAAUUUUUGGAACUUGUUUACACAUCAGAGAUAAAGACCUAUUAAUAGGUAUGGGAAAUUAUUUUAAGAAUUUAAACUUUAAUUUACUUAACUCAAACGAAAUUAACAAAGAAAUUUCUGUCCAUUGUACUGAAAGUAAUAAUACUUCUCUACUUCAAAUUAAAAAUAAUUUUGAUAUUGAGAAUAAAGUUAUACCUUUUUUUAAUGAGUAUCCUAUACUUGGAGUAAAAAGAUUAGAUUUUGAAGACUUUAAAAAAGUGGCAGAAUUAGUUAAAAAUAAAGAGCAUUUAAAUGUCGAAGGUUUAAAUAAAAUAAUAAAAAUAGUAGAAGGUAUGAAUUUAGAUAGAAAGUUAGAAAGUUCUAUUGAAAAAUAAAACUUAUAUGUUUUAUACAAUUGUAUGUAAAAUUUGAUUAUCCAUGAUAGACGUGCCACAUUAGCUAAAACAAAGGGAUGCUAAAAUGUGAAUAUUCGCUAAUCCCUAAACAGGAUAUAAUAUGGAUUGUAUGUCUGAAACUCGACUACAUGAAUAAGGAAUUACUAGUAAUCGUGCAUCACCAUGGCACGGUGAAACUUAUCUCGGAUAGGUACUAACUACUCGUCAAGCACUGAAAGGAGCACACGCAAUAAGUUGAGUUUAGUUUAAAUCAUAAUUUAGUAAUUAGACUAUUAAGAUGGUUUAGGAUAGAUUUUCGAAUGUAUGGCUGCAAUUGGUGUUAAGUCGAAAU
RNAcentral lists this ribosomal RNA (6405 nucleotides) under Tuber calosporum. The record is from RNAcentral. Lineage: Eukaryota; Fungi; Ascomycota; Pezizomycetes; Pezizales; Tuberaceae.